This 724-nucleotide ribosomal RNA is filed under the name Cortinarius armillatus. RNAcentral's name for it is "LSU rRNA". It matches the Rfam family "Eukaryotic large subunit ribosomal RNA", at positions 73 to 772 of the family's 3401-position model. Lineage: Eukaryota; Fungi; Basidiomycota; Agaricomycetes; Agaricales; Cortinariaceae. The record is from RNAcentral.
GAUUCCCCUAGUAACUGCGAGUGAAGCGGGAAAAGCUCAAAUUUAAAAUCUGGCGGUCUUUUGGCUGUCCGAGUUGUAAUCUAGAGAAGUGUUAUCCGCGCUGGACCGUGUACAAGUCUCCUGGAAUGGAGCAUCAUAGAGGGUGAGAAUCCCGUCUUUGACAUGGACUGCCAGGGCUUUUGUGAUGCGCUCUCAAAGAGUCGAGUUGUUUGGGAAUGCAGCUCAAAAUGGGUGGUAAAUUCCAUCUAAAGCUAAAUAUUGGCGAGAGACCGAUAGCGAACAAGUACCGUGAGGGAAAGAUGAAAAGAACUUUGGAAAGAGAGUUAAACAGUACGUGAAAUUGCUGAAAGGGAAACGCUUGAAGUCAGUCGCGUCGUCCAGGGAUCAACCUUGCUUUUGCUUGGUGCACUUUCUGGUUUGACGGGUCAGCAUCAAUUUUGACCAUUGGAAAAAGAUCAAGGGAAUGUGGCAUCUUUGGAUGUGUUUAUAGCCCUUGGUCACAUACAAUGGUUCGGGAUUGAGGAACUCAGCAUGCCGCAAGGCCGGGUGUUUACACCACGUACGUGCUUAGGAUGUUGACAUAUAUAAUGGCUUUAAUCGACCCGUCUUGAAACACGGACCAAGGAGUCUAACAUGCCUGCGAGUGUUUGGGUGGAAAACCCGAGCGCGUAAUGAAAGUGAAAAGUUGAGAUCCCUGUCGUGGGGAGCAUCGACGCCCGGAUCA